CCCCAAUAUUUAUUUUCGAUUUGGAAAAUCCAAAGCAAGAAGGCUUUGAAGAAGUCAAGAUCUGAUUAUAAUUCUAGGCUCGGUGCCAAUGGGAUAAAUUAUCUGGCAACUUUUUUUGCACAGUUAUUGAUUCUAUUUGUCUCUGACGCCAAGCGCCCAGCAUGGCACAAAGCCUCACAAAGUGCUCCGAAAAGGGUGUCAUCCCCACACCGUUGAUAAGGCUCAGAGUCUCUCCACGGCCAUAAUGCAACCCCCUCCUCCCCAGGGGGCUGUUGGCACCUCAACCCACUAAGGGAUCAGGAAGUAGAGUUUGCCAGUGAGGAGCCUGGAGACUUCAAGCCUGUUUGGCCUUGGUGUUCUUGUGAUUUAGUGCCCUGGACUGGCAGGUCUAGGGACUUUUUGCUCUAGACAAACUUUUUAAAUAGGCCAGGUGCAGUGGCUCAAACCUGUAAUCCCAGUGCUCUGGGAGGCUGAGGUGGGAGGGUUGCUUGAUCCCAGGAGUUUGAGGCUGCAGUCAGCCAUAAUCACACCACUGCAGCCCAGCCUGGGAGACAGAAGAAGACCUUGUUUCAAAAAAAAUUUUUUUAAUAAAUAUAAAUUUAAAAAAUAAAAAAUCCCAACACAUGCACACACAUACAUGCACACACAUACAUGCACACACACACAUGCACACACAUACAUAUAUAUGCAUGUGCAAAAGGUAUGCCCAAGCUAUACUCUCUUUAUUUGAGUUUUAAUUUACAGAAGUUUUCAACCUGGCCAGGCCUGGAAUCAUGGAGAAUGGGCUGGGAAUGGGUCUGCAGAGGUUCCCAAGGACAUGUUUGAAAAGCAUCCUCCACCUGGGAGAGCUGGGUCAGAAUUAGCACACUCUAGGAGAGUUGGGGAACAGCUAAGAGCGGGGCACACCAGCUCGACUAACUGAGCCUGAGCCAGUGGGAAAGUCCUCAUAGCAGUGGUCACUGGAGCACGAAACAGGGACAUGGCUGGCUGGGGCUCCUUCCUCCGCCCCUCCCCAAGCACAGGUGGGCAUGCCGUGGUGGGGCUGGGAAAAGGCCUAUGGCCAGGGAAGCGCAGGAUGACAACAAAGGAAUGGUCAAGGCCUAACAAACAGAAACAGCGAUGCAAAUUGCCUAGGAGAUGGAGCGGCAGUCACUGGAGCUGGCGUUGCCCAGACUUUGGUUGGCUUCAGGGUGACAGUUCAAGAAGGCAGCUCCUCCUGUGGGCCAGUGAGCUUGCUCCAAGAGCAGCCCUUUCCAGCUGACGCCCAGAGUGACCCAAAGGCUCUCCCGGAAAGUCCGGUUCUAAGACGAUACAGCUGCCCGUCAUGGAGCAACCUGCCCAAAACCACAGGGGGAAAAAAAUCCAAUAACCAAAUCCCGGUGACCACACCCUGUCUGCAGUUACUCAGAACUCACUGGCCAAGGUCCAGGGAGCAGACCGAGUCAGGCUGAAGUCUAUCCACAUUUAAUUUUCAAUUGAAAAUGGAAACAAGUCAAGCCAAGACAAACCCAGGGCCUGAUUUAACAGCAUCUACUGCCAUGGCAAAGACAUUGUCAUGUGGGGUGCCACAGAUCAGCCACCACCACCCCAGGGAAAGGUUGACACCACCACAUCCAGACACUUUUCACUCACCUUUCAUAUAGAAGCUCAUCCACUGCAUAGCAGCUCAAUGGUAUUGUUACUGUUAUGUUCUUUUUACAGGUGAGAAAACUGAGGCACAGGUUAAGUGACUCACUAAGCUCUCACUGUAAAUGGUGGGGCAGGUUUGAACCCAUGUGUCUGGCUCUUUGGUUCUACAUGCGUUAAUUCUGAUUAUAGUGAACGUCUGAAUGGCUAGAAAUAUUUGGAGAUUGUGCCCGGAUGACAGCUGCAGAGAAGUGACCGUGGCUGACCCUGGACAGCAGUGCUUGGUCUUGCUGGGAAUCGUCAGGUCCUCUGCCAGGCUUUCCUGGGGAGCACCAGGUGAAGUAUCAUGGAUUUGAGGUCCUCUGUACUGGAGGCAGGACGCAGACACCAAGAACACCUCCAGGCAGGUGCUGAUUCGCCGGCGGAACAUUUGCAAUGUGCUCACCCCUGUUGUGGGUAGGGGAUGUGGGAAUAUUUGCACUAUUGGGUUAUACAGGGCUCAGAGGGGAAGGCAUCGUGGAAAAGGAUUUGGCUUGAGGAAGGAACACAGGAGACAUGGCCAUGCCAUAAGAAGGAAGAUGCCUCCCUUUAGAUCAGGAUUUGACAUCAGAAAAGAAGAGAUCACUCCAGUGAAGGGCCAGGAGACCUGCCUCCCAGGGCAGAGAACUCCCCGCUCCAGCCCCUCCUGGGGGGACCCUCUCCAGCUGCAGACCCCAUGGUGGGUGAUCAGGGAUGUGAUACCUUAGAUGGGUCCCACAUCCCCUUCAGACGCUAAUGGUGUUUGGCUUUAGCCGACAAUGCUCCUCCAGGGUGUGGCCUCAUUUCCAAUGUCCAGCGUCCUGGAGUCUCGAGGUAGAACCUUGAGGACUACCCUUGUUGCCCAAUCUCAUGUUUCCCUCUAAGGGAAAGGCUCAUGUCCCCACUGCCAGGCAGCCUCUGACACAGGGGACUCUUGUAAGCAAGUCAACACACAGCAUGGAUGUGUGGAGGGACUCAGAGGUCUCUUGGUUGUGUCCCCUGUAUCGAAUCCCGCUUGCACAAGGAACUUGACUUCUCUGAACAUUUAUUUCCUCCUCUAAAAGAUGGCCACCAUUAGGCUGGGCACCUAUGUUAAGUAGAAUUUUAAAAGAUUGAUUUAGUGAAAUAUAUACAAUAAUAAUAGGCUUGGCCCAGGGUUUGCAGGGAGAGCGCGAGCUUUGGGAGGAUGCGACACAUUUUUGGGUAUUAGAAGAUGACAGCAGGCAGAAGCAAGAUACCCUAGAGGAUAGGCCAGGAGGUCCCCUCUGAAGUCUGCCUGUCUGGAGACUUGCAAGGCAAGAAGCAGGUGAACGAGAAACAGGUGAAGGUGGAAACAGCUCUCCCCUCCUGGCGACUCCUCUCCUGGGGUAGCCGGUGCUCCUGGGUGUGUGUUGAGCCUACUGCGUAGAACUUGGUCUGAUCAGAUACAAAGGGAGAAGCAGGAGUGACAGGCACAGUGGAAAGCUGAGCACCCCACAGACCUGAAUUUGUAUCUUUGUUUAGAUGCUCACCAGCCAUGGACCUUCAGACAAAUUCUGACUUCCCAUCUGCAAAGUGGGGUCAAGAGUCCUUAGAAUGUUUGAGUGAAGAACACAAGAUAGAAUGCAUUAAAUGCCUGGCACACAAUCCAUCCAUUCAUCCUUGGGUUUUCCCUCUUUUUUUCAUACUUAUUUCUAUUUGUAUUUUUUAGAAAUAGUGUCUUGCUCUGUUGCCCGGCUGGAGUGCAGUGGCGAGAUCAUAGCUCAAUGCAGCCUUGACCUCCUGGGCUCAAGCAAUUCUCCCACCUCAGUGAGGGGGUCCAUGUGUGUUCCAGCAUGUGUGCAUGUUUUGGAGGAGAACCUUUCAAGAGGUUAAGAGCCACUGCUCUGAAAACAACUUUUCCCUCAAAGACCACCACAGUCAGGCAUGUAGUAUGUCUUGGGGGUGGUCCCGGUAUAGCAGUACCUGGGGGUACAUGAGUGUGCAAAAGUGGUGGCAUUUGUGGCGGCAUGAGAACACACCAAGUUGGGCUAAACCUUACUUUUACAAGUAAUAUGCACCAGGCUCUUGUUACCAAGCACUUUUGGAGCACUAUCUUCCUGUGUGCUAAUAUAUCCAAACACUGGCCAUCGCAGAUAUUUUUGUUAAUAGAUCUAUUAUGCAGGCGGAGGCCUUGACAAUCAGAGAUUUUGUGGCUAGUCCAAGAUUGCUCAGCUGGUAGCCUGGUGGCCUGUUAUGCAGAACCCCUGCCUUCAGGUGACACUUGGUCCCACAGGCUUGGUGAGGGGCCUCCAGUCUGAGCUACUCACUCAGUUGGUGGAGGUGACAGAAAGGAGUCCACGACAAGGAUUCUACAGCUUCCCUGGCUGGAGGAACACCUGGUUUCCUCCAGGUCUCCCACUAUUCUCUCUUGCUCUUCUCUUAGACCAGAUACUGGUGUCAGUGUCUUAUUUAAAAAUUGCUCCUUUGAAUAAACAUUCUGGGUCCUUGGCCAGAAGGCAACAAGUGCAAACUUGGUAAUGGCUCAGUGCCCACCAUCCUCCUGAACUCCCCACACCACACAACAGAGUCCUUUCUAUCCAAGCAGUAAUCACAGAAGGAAAUUGGUUUGCUCGAAGAGAGAAAAGGUCUCUGAUGUGAAAGGCAAUGGGAAAAACAGGACCAUGAGAUGAAUCGAUCUCUGGAUGGCCUCAAAGCUAACGUGCUUGAGGGGAGCAGGAUUGGGAAUGGUAAGCUACCAGGACAAUGUGGAGAAGGAAGAGAAGGGAGAAGGAUGGAAAGUAGGGAGAAGCAGAAGUUUAAAAGUGGUUGCUCUCUGCUGGGAGAGCCUGCCAAGCUGGAAGCACAGAUCCCCCAGACCCUGGACAUUGGAGUUCCUUCCUCUGGGGAGCAAUGGGCAGGCGUAUGCUGCUGACCUUGUUCUCAUGACCUGCAUGCCCACAGCCAAUGUGUUGUUGAUGGAAUCUGAAAGGCUGGCACUGGAAGAUGCUUAGUGAACGGUGACAUGGCCCAUUUCAGAGACAAGAUUGAAUUGAGCCCUUUAAAGCAAUGGAAGGGAAUGCUGGACUGGGAGAGCCCCAGGAGGUAGAGACCACAUCUUAUUCAUCUUUUUAUUUUCAGGGUCUACCUCUGGUAUGUAAAUUGAUGGAUGGAUGGAUGGAUGGACGAUGGGGCAAAUUGAUGAGUGGAUGGAUGGAUGGAUGGAUGGAUGGAUUUGUAGAUGUGUGGGUGGAUAGAUGGAUGGGUAGAUAGGUGGGUGGAUGGAUAGAUGGAUUAAUGGACAGGUAAAUAGGUGGGUGGGUAAAUGGGUGGAUGGAUGAAUUAUGUGGUAAUUUGGUGUGUGGAUGGAUGGAUGGUUGAAUGGAUGGAUGGGUAGGUGGAUGAAUUAUGUGGUUUGGUGGGUGGAUGGAUGGAUGGAUGGAUGAGUGGGUAGAUGGAUGGAAGGUUAGAUGGGUGGAUGGAGGAAUGGAUGGAUGGAUAGAUGGAUGGCUGGUUGGAUGAAUGGACUGGUAGGUGAAUGCAUGAAUGGAUGGAUUUUUUAAAAAGGAAGUCAAGGGUAGAUUCACUUCUGAUGUACUCUAGGCCUCUUUCCUCAAGUAUCAAGUAAGGCAGGUCAAUUUAAUUAUCUCUAAGACCACUCCAUGCUUUGUCAUUUCAUAUUUUUAUGGUCUCAUGAUUCUAAGCUGCCCAGGACCCAGGGCUGAUUUAUGGGGCAAAAGAAGUAAGUGUCAAAGUAUCUGUCACCACUUAGCACCAAGGAGGUAAGAUUCCUUAAAAAAAAAAAAUCAGAUAGAGCAAAAGAGUACUGUCUUCUGAGACCGCAAAGAGGCUGAUGGCACUUCUAUUCAUGCACCCAAAGGUUCUAGGGCCUGAAGUGGCCCCCCACCCUCUCUAGCCCCCCUGUGAAGAAAGAUGCUGGUUUGGGGCAGCACAACACCUGCAGAGAUGCUAACGCUGUUCUCCUGCCCUCACAUAAAAAAUGCCAGUCCCAGUCAACAAGGAAAGAUCCUGACACUUUUAUCAGCAUUAGAAGCAGUUCCCCAAAGGUUGAUGCUCAGUGAAGCCCCAGGAUCCAUGAUCUCAGAGGUACUUACAGAAAUUUUCACCAAGUGGAGCAAACAUAAUUUUAAAAUAAAUAAAUAACAUGUCAUUAUACCCUAAAAUGAUUUCUAGGUAAUCCUUAAACACAGCCUUUAAACUAUAUAUUUAGCAAAAAGGAGAUGGAACUAAAAUGGUUUGAGUGCUGUGUAGUUUGGGUCUUCCAGAAACAGAUACCAAGAUGGGAUUAGACACCUGAGGGAUUUCUUGGGAGACACGGUCUGGAAGGGGCCAAGAAGGUGGGAGAACCCUCAAGCUAUGGUGCAGGUCUGGCCCUGUGAAGGUCAGAGGGAAGGAGGAGGAGGAAAGGAAGGAAGCUUGUCUAGACACUGCAGCACAGCUCCAAGAAAGUUCUAGCAAGGCUCAGGGAGAGUCCUUGAGCCACAACUGUCUGUCAGAGAAAUCCCACAUCUCUCUGGAAUGGGCCUGUCUUCGCAUCCCUGUAGGGCCCAGUCACCACCUGGGAGCAGCUGUGGUAAGUGUGACCUCCAAGCAAACCCACUAGUGGAUCCAAAGGACCAGUAGAUGGGCUCAUCCUCCACCCGGGAAGCACACUUUCACAGCUGCCAUGAGUACUCUGUAUGGGGCCAGAGACUUCCUAAAUGUCUCCUUCAAUCCUCACCUAUUGCUGUUGCACAUUGGUAUUACUAGCCCAUUUUGCAGAUGAAGAAACUACAUUUCAGAAAAGUUAAAGUACUCAGGGAUUGUAAAUGACCAAGCCAGGACUUAACUCUCUAUAACUGGCUCCCAAGGCCCUGCUCAUCACAUCCCAGUCUCCCUGGUCACCAGAGCCCUGUACUGAGAAGAGGAGUCUGGGGUUAGCUUUUGAGAGAUGGCAGAGUGAGGUCAGAGUGUUGAAUGUAGGGAGCAAGAAGCAGAGGAAAUGAAGAGAAAUGCUCUCUGGGUUAGAGGAUGGAGGUGACACAUUGACCAGCAGAUGCGGGCAGCUCAAGCAUCCCCACCUCACAGCCGUCUUGGGUGAAGCCUCUUGCCCUCUCCUGAUUCAAUACUUAAAUAAGGACCAUCCAGGCAUCGUGAGAACCAUGGCAGGGAGAGGUGCUCAUAUGUGGUUCCUGGGAUGAGAAGGAACGCAAGCUCUAAAUCUGUGCUGUUUGCAAACUAGAGAAGGCGGCUGGCCUUCUGAGGAUAGCCUUUUUCCUGGGCUACAGCCUGCCCGAGGGCCAAAUUUCCUUCCCUGGUCUUGCAAUGAUGGAUGGAAGGACACUGUGCACUCAGUUGUCCCUCCAUGAUGAUCAGAUGGUAAACACGGCUGCUGAGCAGUGUGGUCUUGCUCUCCCUGCUCUCACCAGCCUAUGCUCGCAAAGGCAGAGAAUUGCUCUUUAGAUUUAGGGGAAGUGGGAAAGGCAGGAAGAAGGAAGAGCUGUUCGCUUCCUCCAUCCAUGCAGAGAGAGAUGUUCACAUGGAGGCCAUGACAUCAAAUUGUGAAUGCCACACAUUUUCAGGGGAUUAAUUGACCUCAAUUUAGGAGCAAUAAGAUUCUUCAGACUGAAGCAACUUGAAAGGCACUUUUACAGGUACCUGUAGAAAUUUUUAAUGGAACAAUCAAUGAGCUGUGAUUCUUGCCACAUUUGCUGUCACACUGCCUCCAAGGAUUAAACCUUGGGGUGACCAGCCACCCCCGCAACUCUAAUGAGAUGGGAAAGAGCCAAAAAAGAGACCUUUCAACCCAAGCCCUGCUCUGCAUCACAGGCAGCUUUUAUCUCCAUAAUUAGAGGGCUCGUCAUGCUUUUAAAUAAACUACUGGAGCCCAGGCUGGGCACUCAGAGGGGAGCUGACUGUGGGGAGUCAACAGUGGGGAGUGUGGAGGAGUGGGAUCUCACAGCCUGUCCCUGGGACGGUGGGAAGUGAGGUAUCCUGGGAAACAGAGGCCUUCCACAGAAGCUUCUUUCCAGAUAGGGAAAGGUGUGUGGACUUCGGCAAGUCACUGAUUUUGUGGACAUUACGGGAAAUUACUGCAUUUUUCAUUUAUCCUUAAAUGUAAACAAGUAACAUGGAGGUUCCAGAUGCAUUUUUUUUUUCCUUUUAGGAGACAAAACCAGAACUCUUUAAAUCCUCUUUCUUAAACAUAGGAAUAGAUAUUCAAAUUCGAUUACACUGAGAUUGGGAGAAAAAUGCAGAGUUGGGUAACUCACUCUUUGGUGGAGGCUGUGGGACUCUUGUGUACCGCCAGUGAGCAUGUGAAUUGGCACAACCCCUGCAGAAAGAAACAGAGUGAUCAUUAACAAAACUACAAAUCCACAUGCCCUCUGACCCAGUCAUUCAUCUUCUGGGAAUUUGUGCUGCCGAGACACUUUUAAGAUGACAUGUGUGUGAGAUAAUUCAUGGCAGCUUUGCUGGUGAUGGCAAAUACUUGGAAACAAACCUAGAUGUCCAUCAAGAAAGGAUUAGUUAAAUAAAGCAUGCUAGAUUCAAACAACUACUAUGCGGCUUUAAAAAGGAAUGAGGAAGCUCUCUGUGUACUGAUGGGGACAGAAGUUCCAGGACAUUUUGUAAGGUGGCUGAAAAACAAGGUCUAUAAAAUGAUACAGGCAGUGGAAAUGGGUCACAGAGAAUUUACGGUUACAAUGUGAAAACGUCAACCCAACGCCAUGGUCUACUUCGUGCUUGGAAGCAAAGCCUGGCCUGGAUGCGGUAUGCACUCAUGACUCAACCUUCUGUUGUCACUUGCUGUUUUUGGAUUCUUCCAAGUUCAGAGUCAACACAAAACUCUUCCUUUAAAAGAACAGCUUGGCCCCAGGAGGCUGCUGAGUGACAUGUCAAGCUGUCCUGAGAGCACACUUGUUUCCCAACCACCUGAGUCAUGACAAAUUGCUUGAGGCUUGUACCAGAGUAAAGUCUGAAAAUAGUUCUUCUCGCCCUCCCUACCAGACAGAUGCUUCCAGAAUCAAUCACCGAAUGGUGGAUCUACAGCCAACCACCCAUUCUCUUCAGUCACUGAGAUGAUAUGAUGCUGCUGGUCCAAGGACUACAUUUCGAGAACCCCAACCACGCAUGGAUUGUUGUCAACUAUGAAUCACAAGAUUUCCAGGGUUUUGUCUGCUGCCUUCCCUGCAAGCCCUGCCAUCCACUGAGACCCAACCUCAGCCAUUCUUGGCACAUCAGCCCAUGAGAAGUCUGCCACUCUUUCUUCCUAAGCAAAGCAGCAUCCUUCAGGGCCUGGAGCUCCUGGACACAAAAGCCAUUUUUGGGAGAAAAAUGUGGAUAAAGUCACUCCUGGGCCACCUGUCUGUGAGGCUGUAUGGAAGCUGCCUACUGGUUUGAGGAGAGGCUGCUGGGUUCUUUCCUUUACUAAGGAUUUGCUUAAGUCAGCCCUCCAGGAUCCAAAAAAGAGCCAGAAAAAAGCCAGCAAAACAGCUGAGGCACAGACUAGAUGGUAGUCCAAGGACCAAGACCUGGCCAGCCAGAGGGACCAGGUGUCCAGACCCCGGACUGUUUUCAAUACAGUUAUACAAUGAAAUCAAAUAAAUGGAUGUAUUGAUUGCUUGGCAAUUAAUGGGGGAACAAUUAAUUUGGCCAUAGGAUAGGGGCUCAUCCCCAUGGACGCUUGAGUGUCCAGCAGUGAUCUCUGUGCUC
RNAcentral lists this long non-coding RNA (9315 nucleotides) under Homo sapiens (human). RNAcentral describes it as "HSALNT0273118". Lineage: Eukaryota; Metazoa; Chordata; Mammalia; Primates; Hominidae. The record is from RNAcentral.